Molecule: small nuclear RNA, 112 nt
Filed under: Panthera leo (lion)
Lineage: Eukaryota; Metazoa; Chordata; Mammalia; Carnivora; Felidae
Source: RNAcentral
GUGCUCCUCCUUUGGCGCUUUUAUAUAAUACAAUUGGAAACGAUGCAGAGAAGAUUAGCAUGGACCUUGUCUAAGUUUCUUUAUGCAAAUUUGUGAAGUGUUCCAUAUUUUU